RNAcentral lists this unclassified non-coding RNA (622 nucleotides) under Hevea brasiliensis (rubber tree). The record is from RNAcentral. Lineage: Eukaryota; Viridiplantae; Streptophyta; Magnoliopsida; Malpighiales; Euphorbiaceae.
UAGCACAUUCGGAAGAUAAAACAGCAGGCAAAGUGAGCAUUGGAGGAUUGGCAUUUUCUCCCCUAAUAGGAAAAGAAACAACACCAGGACAAUUAGAAUAACAGAAAGUGGGAUUUUCAAAAUCGAGGUAUGUUUCAAGAGAGAAGCAAAGGUCAGACUGUGAUUCAAGCAAGGGUAAGGUAAAGGGAUUGGAAUAGUGAAGGGUAUGGGGGUAUUUGAGGUGCUGUAUUAGGGUUUGAAUGUAAUCGGCUGAUGAAGAGGAAAUGGGUGGGCAAUGAAGAGAGUGAGAGAAGAGGGAAGAAAGGGGAAGACGAUGGUUGGAAUUGAAAGGGCAUGGGAUUAGAGCUGAAGAAGGAGAGGGAGCAACAAGGGGUAUAGGAAGAAGAGAGGAGAGAGAGUUGAGAGUAGUUGAAGAGAGGUUGAGGAGAGAUGUAAGGGAUGAGAGAGCACUAGGAAGAUCAUAUGCCAGAGCGCUGGUUGGAGUAGGGUGGUGGAAGUAAGAUGGUGGCGGUCGCGGAAAGGUGGAGGCCGGUGGCGGGGGAAAGGCGGAGGCCGGUGGCAGCGGUAGCGGUAGCGGCGGCGGCGGAAAUGGAUUCAUUUCGUCCUUAAUGGUCGGCCGAUA